GCGUCGGUAGCGCAACUGGUUAAGCACGCGACUCCCGGAAUGGUGACUUGCGGGUUCGAGCCCCUCCCGGUGACA
Non-coding RNA from Parelaphostrongylus tenuis, 75 nucleotides. Lineage: Eukaryota; Metazoa; Nematoda; Chromadorea; Rhabditida; Metastrongylidae. The record is from the annotation of a GenBank genome assembly.